UUUUAUAAUUCAAUAUUUGCGUAAAUUAUUUGUAGUUGAAUAAUUUUUUUAUAUAAUUAUUUUUAAUACAUGUUAAUUGCAGGUGCAAGAAGACAUUCGUCGUAAUGAGUUUGACAUGAAUGAUAGUACAGAUGCAGAACAAAGUUCCCAAAAUUAUAUACGUAGAAGACAAAUUAGACUUGGGGGAGGUGAUAAGGGUCAGCAACAAAGAUCCUGAAAAAUGGAGAUGGGAAUUGGCGUUGGGAAGUGGCUGGUAAAGUGUGCAAUGGAUGAAAAG
RNA transcript from Cajanus cajan (pigeon pea), 277 nucleotides. It is a transcript of the gene named protein FAR1-RELATED SEQUENCE 5-like, with no coding region annotated. The record is from RefSeq and is a predicted model, not a curated record. NCBI's taxonomy places the organism in Eukaryota, Viridiplantae, Streptophyta, Magnoliopsida, Fabales, Fabaceae.